CGCAAGGCAGGAGGCUACCAUGCAGUCGAGCGGUAGCACAGAGAGCUUGCUCUCGGGUGACGAGCGGCGGACGGGUGAGUAAUGUCUGGGAAACUGCCUGAUGGAGGGGGAUAACUACUGGAAACGGUAGCUAAUACCGCAUAACGUCGCAAGACCAAAGAGGGGGACCUUCGGGCCUCUUGCCAUCAGAUGUGCCCAGAUGGGAUUAGCUAGUAGGUGGGGUAACGGCUCACCUAGGCGACGAUCCCUAGCUGGUCUGAGAGGAUGACCAGCCACACUGGAACUGAGACACGGUCCAGACUCCUACGGGAGGCAGCAGUGGGGAAUAUUGCACAAUGGGCGCAAGCCUGAUGCAGCCAUGCCGCGUGUAUGAAGAAGGCCUUCGGGUUGUAAAGUACUUUCAGCGGGGAGGAAGGUGCUGAGGUUAAUAACCUCAGCAAUUGACGUUACCCGCAGAAGAAGCACCGGCUAACUCCGUGCCAGCAGCCGCGGUAAUACGGAGGGUGCAAGCGUUAAUCGGAAUUACUGGGCGUAAAGCGCACGCAGGCGGUCUGUCAAGUCGGAUGUGAAAUCCCCGGGCUCAACCUGGGAACUGCAUUCGAAACUGGCAGGCUAGAGUCUUGUAGAGGGGGGUAGAAUUCCAGGUGUAGCGGUGAAAUGCGUAGAGAUCUGGAGGAAUACCGGUGGCGAAGGCGGCCCCCUGGACAAAGACUGACGCUCAGGUGCGAAAGCGUGGGGAGCAAACAGGAUUAGAUACCCUGGUAGUCCACGCCGUAACGAUGUCGACUUGGAGGUUGUGCCCUUGAGGCGUGGCUUCCGGAGCUAACGCGUUAAGUCGACCGCCUGGGGAGUACGGCCGCAAGGUUAAAACUCAAAUGAAUUGACGGGGGCCCGCACAAGCGGUGGAGCAUGUGGUUUAAUUCGAUGCAACGCGAAGAACCUUACCUACUCUUGACAUCCAGAGAACUUAGCAGAGAUGCUUUGGUGCCUUCGGGAACUCUGAGACAGGUGCUGCAUGGCUGUCGUCAGCUCGUGUUGUGAAAUGUUGGGUUAAGUCCCGCAACGAGCGCAACCCUUAUCCUUUGUUGCCAGCGUCCGGCCGGCACUCAAAGGAAGACUGCCAGUGAUAACUGGGAGGA
RNAcentral lists this ribosomal RNA (1139 nucleotides) under Enterobacter asburiae. Its description in RNAcentral is "bacterial SSU rRNA". It matches the Rfam family "Bacterial small subunit ribosomal RNA", at positions 34 to 1170 of the family's 1533-position model. Lineage: Bacteria; Pseudomonadati; Pseudomonadota; Gammaproteobacteria; Enterobacterales; Enterobacteriaceae. The record is from RNAcentral.